This is a long non-coding RNA of Phragmites australis (common reed), 3150 nucleotides long. RefSeq lists it as uncharacterized. NCBI's taxonomy places the organism in Eukaryota, Viridiplantae, Streptophyta, Magnoliopsida, Poales, Poaceae. The record is from RefSeq and is a predicted model, not a curated record. The transcript is spliced from 2 exons.
UCUCCUUGAUCAUACUGAACCUAUGGUUUUCAAAUAAUAUACAUGUCCAACUAAAACCAGACUUAUUAUUGUAUGUGCUAUAUAUGUUGCGUUUUAUUUCAAACUACUUGUAGUAGUUAAUCCUAUCAACAUUGUCAUGCCUUACAUGUCAUCAUGCAAGAUACAUAUCACCAUAGGAAUACAUGUUGUUAAAUAUAUUAACGAUGGACGACGCCUUAAUAUCUAGCAUGCUUAGGAUGGAAUACGUCUCCUCCGAGACGUCGCUUUUAAAACACUUCUCCUCAGAGAUAAGAUUUACUGUUAUCAAUGUUAACUCAUAUACCAUGAAUCCUUGAUGGUUAUGAAUUCCAUGAUAGUUGUGAAAUCCUUGACAUCAUGUGGGAUAUAGUGGGAGAUGUGUAAAAAUGGGUGAAAACUGUUUUGGCGGGGGCAGGUGGAGUAGUACUAUGGACAAGGAUGCUCCGAGGGGCUUGAGUCACCUUUGUGGUGUUCAUUGCUAGAAGAUACCUGCUUUGGCCGGUUAAGGAACGAGUCAUUGCGUCGUCAUGUUUAGCCACCUUCGUGCAACCAUGCGUCAUAAAUGGGCAGGAUUUGACUCUUUUUUCACCGGACUGAGUUGGGCAUAAUACUAGGCGGCUGGGGAGCAGCGAGAAACCAAGUGUCCAUCUGGCCUUUUGUUGAAUAUUUCGGGAGACAGCAUAUCCAAUCAAUCUGGUAUUCUGAACAUGGUCUCUGAUACUUGGGGUGUCUCGUAGAAAAGCCCUACAGGAAAGAUGUUGGAGGAUCUCGAUAUGAUUCGCUCCUCUGCUUGCAACAGUUGGAAGCUGAGCAUAUUGCAUGGGUAAAGUUGUAUAACCUCUGUUGUCGGAGGGUUAACUCCUGUCGCAGGGAUCCUGAGGGACCCCUUUUUAGAGAUUCGGCCGGGGGAUGAUCCUAAACAAGUUUGCUGGAGAAAUAAAUGGAUAUGAAUGCGAUGGCUGGCAGGGGUGGAAUGAUCCAAUGCAGAGAAGAGUAAAUACACUGGUAGUUUAGACAGGUUCGAGCCAUACGGAGGCGUAACACCCUACUCCUGUAUGAAUGCUAUAAAUGUCCUGAGAAUGUCCCUCAAGGAUGUUGCUGGUUACAAGAAUGCAUGUCUAUCCUAGAGCCUGGGGCUCCUUGUUCUUCGGUCUGUGUGAGCUUGUCUUUGCUUGUUCAGAGAUUUUCCCGCUUCUCUCAACCGUUGUCUCCCUUUUUUCGAUUCUCUUUGCUCGUACUGCCGGCUGCUUUAAAUACCCACCAGCAGUAGCGUGUCCCGAAGGGGAGGGCAUGAGUUCCAAUGCACCAUAAAUGGAAAGGACGUCGACAUAGCCUCUGUGCGAAGUGACGGGGGUUGAAAACGCGCCCCGCGUCCGGUCAGCAGGCGUCAUGAUGGCGCUGGCAACGAGCGCCGUGGAGAGGGCCCACCGGGCAGCGGCCGAGCGGCUCGACGUGCCUGCCCUGUCUUGUUCUCUUGCCGCAGCAGCGCGGCAGACGGAACGCCUCGAGUCUUACGACGUUAUCCCGAGGCGCGCCAGAUGGCACGUGACGGGACCCGUGCAUUUAAUGUCCCCACGCCCUUCUGCCAGAAUAUGGCAGGAACUGACACCGAGCGUGGCGGGAGCAGUUGGAAGUGACAGGCCACGCGCGCCCUUAAAUGCGGCCUCGGGCCUUUCACUGGCUGACACCUCAUCUCUGGGCCCCUGUGGGGGCCACUGUCAGGGGGCUUCCUAGGUUGUCGAGGAACCAAGUGCUCGGGGUCACUGUUCACCUCCCCGAGCACUCUCUCCCGUGAAUGCCCUUUGUUGGUCCUCGGGGAACCGAGUGCUCGGGGGCCACUGUUCACCUCCCCGAGCGCUCUCUCCCGGUCCUGACUGUACGGAUUCUUCAGGGAACCGAGUGCUCGGGGGCCGCUGCUCGCAGCCCCGAGCACUCUCUCCCGGAAUUCGGUUCUCCUGGUCGUCGGGGGACUUGGGUGCUCGGGGGUUAUUGUUCACCUCCCCGAGCACCUUCUUCCCGGUUACUUAGUCUUCGUAGUUCAUCGGGAAACCCGGGUACUCGGGGACCACUGACUGUGGCCCCGAACGCCCUCUCCCGGGACUUAGUCUUCUCUACCCCGCGGGAUGGCGCCACGUGGCAGAUCGCUGGCCUGACCUCGGGAUUCGGGGACCCCCGGUUCCUGAUUCACCGACAUCUGCAGAAUGUAAAUAUAUUCGAAUAGUCAUGUCCAUGGUUAUGGAUAUGCGAAAGCAGUAACCCCAAUGACUAGACUCCGGAUGCGUGUGUCUUGAUGAGUGAGUGUGUGGACUAGAUGUCCAUGUGAUGAGGUUCCUAGCUCGAUCCGCCACAAGCUGUGUGGUACUAGAGGUACACCAGAUUUGAUAAAAGGGACUACAGAGUGAGGUGUAGCCACUCAUAGGACCGAAAACCCCUAGAUAAAGCUUGUUACCCAGUUUUAAAACUGUUUUGAAAGCUUUGUUACCAGGUCACCUUCUAAUACGUUGGGGACUUGAGGUGAUACUCAGUACCAACGGAAGAUGCCUGCAAUUGUUACUUUUAAAACUAUUUUAAAAUGCUUUGUUACAUUUAUUAAAAAGGAUUAACAGUAGAGAAUAUAACUGGAUACUUGUAUAAAACUUGCUUUACAUUUAAAACUAUGUCGUAAAGUCUUAUCUUUGAAAUAUCCAUUAUGCAUCUAUCAACCCCUUGAAGUAGUAUAGGACUUGUUGAAUACCUUCCGUACUCAGUCUCGUUGGUUUCAGAUUGUUAAAUUGGAGAUCAACCUCAACCCAGCUGAAGUCAAAGAGAAGAAGUCUAAGGUCGCGUCCGCACCCGAGUUGCCUGUGGCAUUGAGUUGCAUCGUCGUUGCGCUCCGCUGUGCUGUAUGCUCUUCUGCCUGGCUAGUCUGCUGUGGAUUCCUGUUCACUAGACCAUCUUUUUGCUUUUCAGCUACUUGAUCCAGGGACUGAUACAGAAGGCACAGGGGAACCCGGGUUUGGGGUCUUGACAAACUCUAUAAUGAUCAGAAUGGCAAUUUCUUAGCUUGUGUUGAGAUGGUUGCAGAAUUUGACUUUUUGAUGCAAGACCAUCUUAGAUGUAAUCAAAAUAAUGAGAUUCAUUAUCAUUAUCUUA